UGUUUGGGAAUGCAGCUCAAAAUGGGUGGUAGACUCCAUCUAAAGCUAAAUAUCGGGGAGAGACCGAUAGCGAACAAGUACCGUGAGGGAAAGAUGAAAAGCACUUUGGAAAGAGAGUUAAAAGUACGUGAAAUUGUCGAAAGGGAAGCACUUGAAGUCAGCCAUGCUGCUUGAGACUCAGCCUGGCCUUUGGGCNUGGUGUAUUUCUCGGUGGCAAGCCAGCAUUGGUUUGGGUCGUCGGAGAAGCGCAUAGGGAAUGUAGCGUUUCCGGACGUGUUAUAGCCUUAUGCAGGAUACGACGACCUGGAUCAAGGAANGCAGUGUGCCCUCUGGGCGGGUCUUCGGACACCUUCACACUUAGGAUGCUGGCGUAAUGGCUUUAAGUGGCCCGUCUUGAAACACGGACC
Molecule: ribosomal RNA, 407 nt
Filed under: uncultured Exobasidiomycetidae
Lineage: Eukaryota; Fungi; Basidiomycota; Exobasidiomycetes
Description: eukaryotic LSU rRNA
Rfam family: Eukaryotic large subunit ribosomal RNA
Source: RNAcentral